GAUGAACGCUGGCGGCGUGCAUAACACAUUCAAGUCGAACGAAGUAAAGAAUUCGUUUUUUACUUAGUGGCGGACGGGUGAGUAACGCGUGAGCAACCUGCCUUUGUGAGGGGGAUAACGUUUGGAAACGAACGCUAAUACCGCAUGAAGCAUAGAAGUCACAUGGCUUUUAUGCCAAAAGAUUUAUCGCACAAAAGAUGGGCUCGCGUCUAAUUAGAUAGUUGGUGGGGUAACGGCCUACCAAGUCGACGAUUAGUAGCCGGACUGAGAGGUUGAACGGCCACAUUGGAACUGAGAUACGGUCCAG
Molecule: ribosomal RNA, 307 nt
Filed under: uncultured bacterium
Lineage: Bacteria
Description: bacterial SSU rRNA
Rfam family: Bacterial small subunit ribosomal RNA
Source: RNAcentral